Cucumis sativus (cucumber) is the source of this 1216-nucleotide long non-coding RNA. RefSeq lists it as uncharacterized. NCBI's taxonomy places the organism in Eukaryota, Viridiplantae, Streptophyta, Magnoliopsida, Cucurbitales, Cucurbitaceae. The transcript is spliced from 2 exons. The record is from RefSeq and is a predicted model, not a curated record.
AUUAUAAAUAAAUAAAAGAAAACUCAAAUCCAAAAUAAGUAAAAAAAAGAGAAAAAAAAUACAUAUUCUCUUCCCUCAAUAUAUUGUGUUGAAGUAAAAAAAGAGAGAGAAAAUGAAAUAAAAUAUUUCUUCAAACUAUAGAUUUGGUCAAGACGGUCUUCGGCCAGUCUGUGUCAUGUACGUAUCAAAGAAUUAACAAAAGGAAAAAAUGAGCCUCCUCGCCAAAGGUCUGUUUCGGUGGACGGUGGCCCGGCGGGGGAGCAAUCAGUGCCCAGGACCCUUGGGGCUGGGGCCGGACGAUAACCGCCCAAGCCAACACGACACCGUAUGCUUCGCUUGCUCGUACGCCGACGGGUACAUCUCCAAGUGAUUGACGCUCGCGAAGUCUCCGGGCACCACUCUGGCGGCGUCCACGGUGGAGCUGUUGCUCAGCAACGUCAAAGCGACGACAAGAACGAUCAAAAGGACACUUAAUUUUCCGAAAUUCAUUUUAGAAGUCUCUGGGUUGAAGUGGAAUCUGGAACGAAGGUAAUGUGUUGGACGAUGCGUCUGAGAGAAAUUGGGGUUAAGAGAAGCAAAGGUUGAACGAAAAGGAAGGUGUUUGAUGAUAUGACUGAGGAUAAACAAAGCGUGGAGAAAAAAAACAGUGAAAUGAAGAGAAGGUGUUUGGUGAUACGUCUGAGAGGUGUUAAGGGUGAAAUGAAGAGAAGGUGUUUGAUGAAAUGGCUAAGGGGGUUGAAGCUUAAUUUAUAGGUAAAAUGAAAAAGGGUUGGUGUUUGAAUGGGUGUUGUUGUUGAGAAGUAGAGAAGUAGAGAGAGUAGGUUGCGUGUUGACAAAGGAAUUUUGAAUUUUACUUGGUCUUGUUCUUGCUAUGGCGCUUGGAGUUGGGACUGUAAUUGCUUGAUGCUGAGGCUGUUGGUUUGACUAUUGGCUAUUUCCAGGCCCUUUUUCUUUGUUGGCAAUGGUCAAAUACCGAAUUCAGCGUCGGUACUUCAAUAAAUUUCAUUCUUUCUAUUUUUAAUAAAUCUAAUGCCUAGUAGUCAAUGGUUAAUUAUGCUUAAUAGCUUCUGAUUAUUACUCAACUUUAUCUCAUACCCAAAAUAUGAACUUGAAUAUUUAUACCGUCGACUUUGACAAUCAAAAGGUUACACUUCCUCAUCCUACCUUCUUUUAAGAAACAAUAGUAAAUAAGAGUUGAGUAAACUUUUCUUUUCUU